AUGCGAUAACUAGUGUGAAUUGCAGAAUUCCGUGAAUCAUCGAGUCUUUGAACGCACAUUGCGCCCCCUGGUAUUCCGGGGGGCAUGCCUGUCCGAGCGUCAUUGCUGCCCAUCAAGCACGGCUUGUGUGUUGGGUCGUCGUCCCCUCUUCGGGGGGGACGGGCCCCAAAGGCAGCGGCGGCACCGCGUCCGAUCCUCGAGCGUAUGGGGCUUUGUCACCCGCUCUGUAGGCCCGGCCGGCGCUUGCCGAACGCAAAACAACCAUUCUUUCCAGGUUGACCUCGGAUCAGGUAGGGAUACCCGCUGAACUUAA
RNAcentral lists this unclassified non-coding RNA (313 nucleotides) under uncultured Aspergillus. RNAcentral describes it as "partial contains 5.8S ribosomal RNA, internal transcribed spacer 2, and large subunit ribosomal RNA". The stretch from base 1 to 102 matches the Rfam family "5.8S ribosomal RNA", at positions 53 to 154 of the family's 154-position model. The record is from RNAcentral. Lineage: Eukaryota; Fungi; Ascomycota; Eurotiomycetes; Eurotiales; Aspergillaceae.